AUUUUUAGUGAAGACACGGUUUCUCCAUGUUGGUCAGGCUGGUCUUGAACUCCCGACUUCAGGUGAUUCCCCUGCCUCAUCUUCCCAAAGUGCUGGGAUUACAACCAGAGCCACUGUGCCUGGCCGUGAUUAACUUCUAGCCAAUGAAAUAUGAAUGGAAAUGAUGUGCUCAUUUUUAGGGUUAAUGAAGUCCUAUUCUCCCUUACUCUUUCUUCAUCAACCUGAUGCCUUUCAGCAUGGUGACCUUGAAAACUAUAUGUUGGAGAUGCCAAAGACAGAAAAGAGAAGAAGGAGUGGCUGAAACACUACUUGGAAGAGAGCCACCCCAAUUAGAUACAUUCCUUUUUGGACUUCCUGUAAGAGAAAAAAUUGAGAUUUGAGAAUUUAUAUCUAUAGGAGCUAGAAUGACCAUAACUAGUCCAGAAACUGGUACCAGAAGUGGAGUACCGCUAAGACAAUAACCUAAAAUAUGUUACAUCAGCUUAGUUAUGAUGUAGCAGGUGGUAGAGAAUGUGAUUUGGAGGCUGGAAAAAGGAGGCUCAUGUUUGCAGUGGCAAAGUAAUUAGUAAAACUGUCACCUGAAAUAAUUCAAAAUCAGAUCACCUAUUUAGAUUAGCUCCAGAGGAAAUGAUUGAAAAGAGCAAAAGUAAUACUACGUGUUGAAUUUUAUAUUUUACUUUUAGUAAGUUUUUACUAAAGAGAAACUCAGGAGAUACUUGGCAGAAGUGAGAGUGUACACAAAUAUUUCUCAGGGAGGGUUGGAAAAGGUGACUUUUUAAGACUUCUAACAAUAUUAAAAAAAAAAAAAAAAAAAGCUAGAAGAGGUCUUGAGUAUAGUUACCCGUGAGAUUAAGUCCUGCAACAAAGAUCAGGAAAAGGGUUUGGUCUUUCCAUUCAAAGUCAUUAUUGUAGAUGGCUUCAAGAUAGCUAUGAUAAAGGUCUAAAGGAACUGGCAUAGGAGCAAGGAAGCAAAGCAGUAAAUUAGGCUUGAUAAUUAUGUAAGAAAGAACUUUGGGUGUAGUUACUAGAAGCAAAUCAAUCAGAAGACUACAUUUUUGGAGGAACUUUAUUACUAAUCAUACUAAAUCUGGUUCAGAUAUCAUUGGGUGUUAAAACAGAGGGUAACUGUCCAACCCGAAGCUUGCAUAAGUAGAAGAAUAGAGCAUUAAACCUUAACAGCUCUCCAGUACCCACAUAUGAUGUGGCCGUGGAGAAUGAUGGAAAAAAAGAACAUUUCAGAAGCUCAUCAGGAGCUGUACAAAGGAAUGGACAGGGAGUUUUUUCCUGAAGACUAGAAUUGGGGUCUCAUCAAAACUGUUUUCAGUCUCCAGGAGAUGGGCCACAAAAUGUUUAUGCAGUAUUUCCUCAUUAUUAUACAUGAAUAGUAUUGUUCAGUAUCAUUUUUCUUUUCUAAAUGAGAGAAUGUAUUAUAGUUACCUGUCUCUGAGUUACCACUGUAUAUUGGAUUUGUAGGGAUGGGGUGACAAUAAAGAUAAUUUGUUUUUUUAGUUCUUAGGUCACAUCUGUACCUAAUGAAGACAGCUGCACAUUUUCUGAAAAUCCUAGACUUUGAGCCUGUUCCAGUAACUGGUUAAAACUUCAGAUUGUCUCCUUUGAGACAGGGUAUGUUCUGUGUGUGGAAAGACAGGUAAAAUACAUGUUUAGUGAUCAGAAUAGUAGAUUCUUGCAGAUACUGAAUUCUUCUGGCCACACUGCUAUAUUUCCAUGCUUCUCUUCCAAUUAGGUAUAUGGGUUAGGUGUGCUAAUUCGGUUCUAACCAGUGGAAUGUGAGUAGAAGUGAUGUGCUCCUAUUCCAGCUCUCGCCCAUGGAAAUAUCACAUGAGCAAUCCAGUAUAUUACCACUCCCUACCAACUUGAGGCAGAUGAGCAAAUUUGCACUGGAAGCUAUGUGUUAAAGAUGGCGAAGCCACAAGGUAGGACUCCUGGAUUCCUGAAUCUUCACUUGGAGGAUACUUGCUUCCCAAUUAGAGACACUUGUGCUAGAGUUUACUGACUCUUCACUUGGAGGAUACUUGCUUGCCAAUUAGAGACACUUGUGCUGCAGUUCAUAUGCAUUCUUUUGUGUUAGGCCACUGAGAUUUGAGAGCAUGUCCGAAUGUAGACCCGUCCCUCUUUCUGCAGAUGCAAUCGUUCAUUACCUAAUUCUGAUUUUUAUACCACAGGAUGGGUAUAAAAAUCAGGCUAGCCAAAGUAUCCUAUCAUUCAGCCAUAGUGAUUAGUUCAGGAAUGGGCAGAUUAACAAAACUGAAGUUAAUCAGAGAGAGUUUCACCAUUUGGGCUAGCACUAUCGAGAAAAAGGCACCUGCUUUUGAAAUAAUAAUUAAAAAAAAAAACAACAAGCUACAUCUGGCCUUUGGUCAUCAUGUAGAGUGAACCUGCCUAAGAAUGAAAUCAUUACAGGAAAACAGGCAGUCUCAAUGAUACCGCAGAAGGAGAAGAUAUCCCAUGAAUUGAGAAAUAUUUCCUGGGUUUCUACUCAAGAUUGAAAUUCCAAGAGAGCUACUACAAAGUGCUGGAGAAGGAAAAGCUAAAGCAGCCUGUCAUCCUGAAGGCCAAAUUAUGUAGCAGAAGAGCUUGGGAAAAGAUUAAGGCGGUGGUGGGGAGGACCUGUGUCCUGGUGGCUUGAAGCCACAGGGAAAGAGUUUCACUAAAUGCCAACAAAUGCUAAAUAAACAAAACAGGGAGCCAGUG
Molecule: non-coding RNA, 2712 nt
Organism: Chlorocebus sabaeus (green monkey)
Lineage: Eukaryota; Metazoa; Chordata; Mammalia; Primates; Cercopithecidae
Source: RefSeq, a predicted model, not a curated record